Tupaia belangeri chinensis (Chinese tree shrew) is the source of this 2493-nucleotide long non-coding RNA. RefSeq lists it as uncharacterized. Lineage: Eukaryota; Metazoa; Chordata; Mammalia; Scandentia; Tupaiidae. The transcript is spliced from 3 exons. The record is from RefSeq and is a predicted model, not a curated record.
GGCACGGAGUUCCAUUCGGGGCCUGCCAGCAGCUUGCUCUCCGAUAGCCCCGGGUCGGGCUCCAGAACGUCCCAGAGUCACCCACCCACUCCCGGGGCUCCUCGGACUCAGCACCUCCCUGGUUUGGGGUACAGCCUGGGGACUAAGGGUGCGCUCAAGUCCCCGGUCCGGUGCCUAUACCCAGGAGAUCCCAGGAGAACCCUUUCCAGCUCCUUUAACCCCCACCCCACCCCCUUUUGACCCUGGGAGCAGGUCCCUAGACCUCCCGCCAAGCUAGAACCAUGCGGGAUUGGAUGUUGGCAGUUUUGUCCAAAGAACAGCUGGACAACCCAUGGAGGCUAAGGCGAAUUGCUCAGGGUCCUGGAAGUUCAAGGAGAGAAAGGACCACCAAUCCCACACAGGUUUCCUUCUCCAGGGCCUUCCGACCUUUCUACUUGAAUCACUAGGUGGGUUAGUUUAAAUCCUUGUUCUUAAUGUCCUGCUGUCCCUAAAGAUCCGCAGGGGCUGCGGGCCUCUCUCCGGGGUGCUGCUCCACGUGCACUGGGACACCUUGCCGGCCAGGUCACCUGUGUUUCUGGCACAGCCUUUGACAGUGCCUCUCAGGUGCACUGCAGAGAGCGCUGCCUUCGCCUGGCCUCCCACUUCUCCUACGUCUCUCAGGUGCACCGCAGAGAGCGCCGCCUUGGCCUGGCCUCCCACCUCUCCCACGUCUCUCAGGUGCACUGCAGAGAGCGCUGCCUUCGCCUGGCCUCCCACUUCUCCUACGUCUCUCAGGUGCACCGCAGAGAGCACCGCCUUGGCCUGGCCUCCCACCUCUCCCACGUCUCUCAGGUGCACCGCAGACAGUUCUGCCUUGGCCUGGCCUGGCCUCCCACCUCUCCCACGCCUCUCAGAAUUUCGCUGCUCUUCUCCAGGCGCGGUUAGCCACCGGGCUCGCCCUUAGCAAGCUUUUCUCCGUGGGCAGGAGAGGCUGAGGAAGCACAGACCACCUCCCCUCCUUCCACACCCAGGAGGAACCAGGCUGAGGCUGUCUAGGUUCAGCCCAGCCUCACUGCCGCCCCAGCCCAUGACCAGGACCAAUUUGACCUGCCAGCUCCUGCCUUCCUCAGUUGUCCAGUGAAGCCAAAACACUGCGAGCCUUAGAGGGUUGCUGGGAAGAGUGAUUGAUGACUGUGGAUGAAGCACCAGAAGGCCCAGGACACAGGAUACGCUUUCUAAGUGGCAGCUACUAUUACUGCUGUUUUUCCUAGUGGCUGAGUUCAUAAUGCCCACCAUCGGAGGCUGUCCUAGGGCUUACGGACGCUGGGUGGGAGGAAACACCUAGUGUGGGGGCACACAGACCAGGCCCCGGGAUGCUGGGGUCCAUUGCUCCGUCUCUCUGGUUGACCUGCUACUAGAGUAGGCCUGACACCGCCUUUCAAUGACUUUCCCUUCUUUCCCACCUUUCAUUGACUAGCCCCGUGUCUUCGGGGGGGCUAGUCCCCCAGUCUAGUCCAUGUGUUUACCUGUCCUCUGGACCCCAGGCCCAAUCUGGCCUUUUCCUGGCCUGCCUUUCGGUGUAAACAUGUCCUGGACCAGAUUCAGAAUCUCAGUAUCAUCAAGAGACCUCUGGCCCCCUAGGCCCUCACUCAAAUGUCACCUUGGCGUGGCUCCCCCUCACCAGAUGGACACUCCUCAAGGGGCUUCCUUUCCUGCUCGGCCUCCGCAGCCUUUGCUGCCAUGUAUCCUAUGCAUAUUUUUAUCCUCUGUUGAUGGUUUACUUUUCCGUGUUCAUCUCGUUUGUUUAGCUUCCCUGUGUCCUGCAGCUAUACCUCAAGCUCCCCGAGGGCAGAAAGCGGUGCCUGUUCUGCUCCCCUCUGCUUUGCCCCCACCUACAGCAGUGCUGGGACCUAGCAGUGCUCAUCAUCAAAGAUGGAAAGUGAAAAGGAAAAAGUGUACUCUUUGUGAAAAAGAGUGUAAAAGAACACAAAUUGCUUGCGCCGUGGUAACGUGUUACUGGGGGCCUGAGAAGGGCUCCUGAAGAGGCCACUUCCAGUCACUAAGCGCUUCUGCGGUACUGCCCCGAGGGGCUGCUAGGGGGCCUCAUUACGGAGGAAACUGUCUUUCUGAGAUGCCUUCCAUGGUUUGAUCACGGUUCCUCUGGGGAGGAAAUUCAGGAGAGACCCACCACCUCUGACCCUUAAUGUACGUAAGUCACAUUGUGUAACCUUCAAAGAUGAGCAAGCCAUCUCGGGAAGUGGCAGGCAUCCAUGCAAACUUGAUUUAAACUUCUCAACUCAUUGAACUUGAAAACUGACGAGGGCCCUGCUGCGUGGUGCAGGCAGAAGCGUCCGGAUCCGCAGUGCUGGAAACCACAUGGCUGCCCAGGUCCGGAUCCUGAGUCAGCCUGACAAGCGGGGAGAGUGUCCGAGAUCCUGCUUGGCUGGAGGACUGGGAGAAGGGGAUCGUGCAGGAUGAGACUCCGCCAAGUGCGUCUGUCUCUCUCUCACACUC